This 262-nucleotide long non-coding RNA is filed under the name Phoenix dactylifera (date palm). RNAcentral's name for it is "long non-coding RNA (PDAC_LNC023127)". The record is from RNAcentral. Lineage: Eukaryota; Viridiplantae; Streptophyta; Magnoliopsida; Arecales; Arecaceae.
GCAUAUGUAAAAGCUUGCUCUCUAUUUUUAUCCCAAAUGUGUGCCGUGUAUGCUAGGUAUAUUAUAUGGAAUUGGAAAGUAACUCUUGAAGUGCCAUUUCUGUUUCAAUUUUUUGCUUCUAAUGUAUAUCCAUGCAUGCAGGUUUCUCAUCCAUACUGUUUUGAAUGCUUUAAGGCAUAAAAAAAUUAGUGAUGUUUCAUAUGCACACUUAUUCAGCUAUCUCAAGGUUGCUAACAAUUUAAUACGUGACCCAUUAUUUUUC